AUUCCGGUUGAUCCUGCCGGAGGCCAUUGCUAUCGGAGUCCGAUUUAGCCAUGCUAGUCGCACGAGUUCAGACUCGUGGCAGAUAGCUCAGUAACACGUGGCCAAACUGCCCUACAGAUCGCGAUAACUUCGGGAAACUGAGGCUAAUAGCGAAUACGGCUCUCACGCUGGAGUAGCAGAGAGCUGGAAACGCUUCGGUGCUGUAGGAUGUGGCUGCGGCCGAUUAGGUAGACGGUGGGGUAACGGCCCACCGUGCCGAUAAUCGGUACGGGUCGUGAGAGCGAGAGCCCGGAGACGGAAUCUGAGACAAGAUUCCGGGCCCUACGGGGCGCAGCAGGCGCGAAACCUUUACACUGCACGACAGUGCGAUAAGGGGACUCCGAGUGCGAGGGCAUACAGUCCUCGCUUUUGUACACCGUAAGGUGGUGUACGAACAAGAACUGGGCAAGACCGGUGCCAGCCGCCGCGGUAAUACCGGCAGUUCGAGUGAUGGCCGCUCUUAUUGGGCCUAAAGCGUUCGUAGCCGGCCACGCAAGUUCGUCGGGAAAUCUGCCCGCUUAACGGGCAGGCGUCCGGCGAAAACUGCGUGGCUUGGGACCGGGAGACUCGAGAAGUACGUUCGGGGUAGGAGUGAAAUCCCAUAAUCCCGAACGGACUACCGAUGGCGAAAGCAUCUCGAGAGCACGGAUCCGACGGUGAGGAACGAAAGCUGGGGUCUCGAACCGGAUUAGAUACCCGGGUAGUCCCAGCUGUUAACGAUGCCCGCUAGGUAUGGCACAGGCCAUGAGCCUGUGCUGUGCCGAAGUGAAGACGCAAGCGGGCCGCCUGGGAAGUACGUCUGCAAGGAUGAAACUUAAAGGAAUUGGCGGGGGAGCACUACAACCGGAGGAGCCUGCGGUUUAAUUGGACUCAACGCCGGACAUCUCACCAGCACCGACAGUGUGCAGUGAAGAUCAGGUUGAUGACCUUAUCGGAGCCACUGAGAGGAGGUGCAUGGCCGCCGUCAGCUCGUACCGUGAGGCAUCCUGUUAAGUCAGGCAACGAGCGAGACCCGCGUUCCUAAUUGCCAGCAGCAACCACGUGUUGGCUGGGUACAUUAGGAAGACCGCCACGGCUAACGUGGAGGAAGGAACGGGCAACGGUAGGUCAGCAUGCCCCGAAUGUGCUGGGCAACACGCGGGCUACAAUGGCCGAGACAAAGGGUUGCAACCCCGAGAGGGGGCGCUAAUCUCCGAAACUCGGUCGUAGUUCGGAUUGCGGGCUGAAACCCGCCCGCAUGAAGCUGGAUUCGGUAGUAGUCGCGUGUCAGAAGCGCGCGGCGAAUACGUCCCUGCUCCUUGCACACACCGCCCGUCAAAGCACCCGAGUGAGGUCCGGAUGAGGCCACCAUGCGGUGGUCGAAUCUGGGCUUCGCAAGGGGGCUUAAGUCGUAACAAGGUAGGCCUAGGGGAAUCUGGGCCUGGAUCACCUCCUA
This 1474-nucleotide ribosomal RNA is filed under the name Halorientalis sp. IM1011. Its description in RNAcentral is "bacterial SSU rRNA". It matches the Rfam family "Archaeal small subunit ribosomal RNA". The record is from RNAcentral. Lineage: Archaea; Methanobacteriati; Methanobacteriota; Halobacteria; Halobacteriales; Haloarculaceae.